UGGGGAAUUUUGGACAAUGGGCGAAAGCCUGAUCCAGCAAUGCCGCGUGUGUGAAGAAGGCCUUCGGGUUGUAAAGCACUUUUGUCCGGAAAGAAAUCCUUGGCUCUAAUACAGUCGGGGGAUGACGGUACCGGAAGAAUAAGCACCGGCUAACUACGUGCCAGCAGCCGCGGUAAUACGUAGGGUGCAAGCGUUAAUCGGAAUUACUGGGCGUAAAGCGUGCGCAGGCGGUUUGCUAAGACCGAUGUGAAAUCCCCGGGCUCAACCUGGGAACUGCAUUGGUGACUGGCAGGCUAGAGUAUGGCAGAGGGGGGUAGAAUUCCACGUGUAGCAGUGAAAAUGCGUAGAGAUGUGGAGGAAUACCGAUGGCGAAGGCAGCCCCCUGGGCCAAAUACUGACGCUCAUGCACGAAAGCGUGGGGAGCAAACAGGAUUAGAUACCCUGGGUAGUCCACGCCCCUAAACGAUGUCAACUAGUUGUUGGGGAUUCAUUUCCUUAGUAAACGUAGCUAACGCGUGAAGUUGACCGCCUGGGGAGUACGGUCGCAAGAUU
RNAcentral lists this ribosomal RNA (552 nucleotides) under uncultured bacterium. RNAcentral describes it as "partial 16S ribosomal RNA". It matches the Rfam family "Bacterial small subunit ribosomal RNA", at positions 355 to 895 of the family's 1533-position model. The record is from RNAcentral.